Non-coding RNA from Rhopilema esculentum, 477 nucleotides. NCBI's taxonomy places the organism in Eukaryota, Metazoa, Cnidaria, Scyphozoa, Rhizostomeae, Rhizostomatidae. The record is from RefSeq and is a predicted model, not a curated record.
UAUUUGGCUAUUAUUAUGUUGUGCUAUCUUCACUUGUUAGAGUAAGCUAGUAUAUCGGAUGACAUUUUUCUACUUAUUAAAUUCUUAUAUUGUAGUUAACCUUGCAUACUAAAAGAUAUAGGCUACUGCUCUACUGUGAGUUUGAUUUUGAUGUAUCAGUGAGAAUUGAAUUUCGUCAUUCAUAUGACUUCCGGGUAGAGACUGGGCUCUAGUGACCUAAUUUCCCGCCAAACUGCAGCUGACGCCAGAUUUACACUAUUUCAAGCUACCUGCGAACAAAGAAAGACGUUCUAAAUCCAGUAAAGUUACUCUUUCUUCAACGGGGAACGUUUCUAAUAAGUAUUCUUCAAAUUCCUUCAAAAACUUGAAAUGGCUAGUUUGGAUCAAGUUGUAAAUGCCGACGCAGAGGAAGCAUUUGAAGGAGAAGAUGACGAAGAUUUCUUUCAAGACAUUGAUGUACUUCAGAGCCAUGGCAUU